GCCAUGGCGGAGACGCGGCGUACGGCUCAGUAACACGUGGCUAACCUAGCCUUGGGACGGGGACAACCCCGGGAAACUGGGGCUAAUCCCCGAUGGGCGAGGAGUCCUGGAACGGUUCCUCGCCGAAAGGGCGUCUGAACCAUGCUUUUAGACGUUGCCCGAGGGUGGGGCCGCGGCCGAUCAGGUUGUUGGUGAGGUAACGGCUCACCAAGCCUAUAACCGGUACGGGCCGUGAGAGCGGGAGCCCGGAGAUGGGAACUGAGACAAGGUCCCAGGCCCUACGGGGCGCAGCAGGCGCGAAAACUCCGCAAUGCACGAAAGUGUGACGGGGCUAUCCCGAGUGCUGUCCGCUGAGGACGGCUUUUCCAUGGUGUAAGGAGCCAUGGGAAUAAGGAGAGGGCAAGUCUGGUGUCAGCCGCCGCGGUAAUACCAGCUCUCCGAGUGGUAGGGAUGAUUAUUGGGCUUAAAGCGUCCGUAGCCUGCCCUUCAAGUCUCUCGUUAAAUCCAGCGAUCUAAUCGCUGGACUGCGGGAGAUACUGUUGGGCUAGGGGGCGGGAGAAGCCGACGGUAUUCUCGGGGUAGGGGUGAAAUCCUAUAAUCCCGGGAGGACCACCAGUGGCGAAGGCGGUCGGAAAGAACGCGCUCGACGGUGAGGGACGAAAGCUGGGGGAGCGAACCGGAUUAGAUACCCGGGUAGUCCCAGCUGUAAACGAUGCGGGCUAGGUGUUGGGGGGGCUACGUGCCUCUCCAGUGCCGCAGGGAAGCUAUUAAGCCCGCCGCCUGGGGAGUACGGCCGCAAGGCUGAAACUUAAAGGAAUUGGCGGGGGAGCACCACAAGGGGUGAAGCUUGCGGUUUAAUUGGAGUCAACGCCGGGAACCUUACCGGGGGCGACAGCAGGAUGAAGGCCAGGUUGAUGGCCUUGCUGGACGAGCUGAGAGGAGGUGCAUGGCCGUCGCCAGUUCGUGCCGUGAGGUGUCCUGUUAAGUCAGGUAACGAUAGAGACCCACGUCCCCUGUUGCCAGCGGGUCCCGUUGGGAUGCCGGGCACACGGGGGGGACUGCCGCCGAUAAGGUGGAGGAAGGGGUGGGCCACGGCAGGUCAGUAUGCCCCGAAUCCCCCGGGCCACACGCGAGCUGCAAUGGCGGGGACAAUGGGUUCCGACCUCGAAAGGGGAAGGUAAUCCCGAAACCCUGCCUCAGUUGGGAUCGAGGGCUGUAACCCGCCCUCGUGAACAUGGAAUCC
This 1243-nucleotide ribosomal RNA is filed under the name uncultured crenarchaeote. Its description in RNAcentral is "bacterial SSU rRNA". It matches the Rfam family "Archaeal small subunit ribosomal RNA", at positions 64 to 1290 of the family's 1478-position model. Lineage: Archaea; Thermoproteati; Thermoproteota. The record is from RNAcentral.